AAUCGGAUUUUACCGAUACCCACCAAUGCAUCAUGAUGAAUCUCGAUGUCACCCGUCAAUCGCGCCGUACCCAGUGAAUGAGCCGAUGCACUCGCUUCGCGCACGUGCGCAUCGAUGUAUCGAUUAAUAUCGAUUAUUUUCCACACCCUUAGUCAGGAGAAGACAUAUCGCUGAUGAGUCAAACGGGCCAAAAGAACAAAAAUCUGCAAAGCAAAAAUAUGGGGAAAAAACGUUCCGGUGGCGAAAGGCAGAAUUUGACCCAUCAGGUAUUCCAUUUUUUGAAGAAAGGUUUGGUCAUCAGACCGAAAUGACUGGUUGCCAAUCAUAGGCCACAUAUAAACAAACAACUUGCUCACCGUUACACCAUCACAAAGUGGGAACUGAACCCAGGAAGUUAAGUGAACCACUCCACUAUAGGCUGCCGGGAAGCUUUCGGACAUGGCGGAUGGCUGUGGAUGCAGUGUCUCUACUCAUUAACUUCAUGGUGUCUGACGAUGGUGAACCAGGAUCCAAAAGCAGAAGGCACAGGCUUCCAUUCUUCCGCUGCUCCAAACCUACGAUAGAGCGACUAUGCCCUAGGGGACAGAGUAACGAGGAAACCUUUGACAUAAUAUGGUCACAAAACAUUUGUAAUCUUAAAAUAAGGUUGCUGCGUUUGCCAAGUGGUUGAAUAUGAAUCGACAGUAUGUUCGUCUUUCCAUCCAUUUUACAUAUGGCUUCUAAUUGGGUGAGCUGGAGCUCAUGCACAUGCAGUGGCCAAAUUUUGGGGUGCAGUAUUGCUGUGUGUGUGUGUGUGUACCUUGAUGCUGCAGGUAGAGUGGGGGCACGAAGGUCUGGAUGAUUCUGGGAGGCAAUCUGUUACUCCUGCUAGAUUGACUGAAGUACUGUUUGACCCACUCGAAGAGCCGAGGAUGGGUACCUCCCGGACCCGUUGGCUGG
This is a long non-coding RNA of Hippocampus zosterae (dwarf seahorse), 939 nucleotides long. RefSeq lists it as uncharacterized. The transcript has 2 exons. The record is from RefSeq and is a predicted model, not a curated record. NCBI's taxonomy places the organism in Eukaryota, Metazoa, Chordata, Actinopteri, Syngnathiformes, Syngnathidae.